RNAcentral lists this ribosomal RNA (510 nucleotides) under uncultured bacterium. Its description in RNAcentral is "bacterial SSU rRNA". It matches the Rfam family "Bacterial small subunit ribosomal RNA", at positions 23 to 518 of the family's 1533-position model. The record is from RNAcentral.
CUCAGAACGAACGCUGGCGGCGCGUUUAAGCAUGCAAGUCGAGCGGCAAGGGCCUUCGGGCCCCUAGAGCGGCGGACGGGUGAGUAACACGGUGGACAAUCUGCCCCCCGGCCCGGGAUAGCCCAGGGAAACCUGGAUUAAGUACCGGAUGGAGACGGGACCCGCGAUGGUGGGACCCGGGAAAGGCGCUGCGGCGCCGCCGGGGGAUGAGUCUGCGUCCCAUUAGCUAGACGGCGGGGUAACGGCCCACCGUGGCGACGAUGGGUAGCCGGUCUGAGAGGGUGGACGGCCACAUCGGAACUGAGACACGGUCCAGACUCCUACGGGAGGCAGCAGCGUAAGAAUCUUCCGCAAUGGGCGAAAGCCUGACGGGAAGCGACGCCGCGUGAACGAAGAAGGCCGUGAGGUUGUAAAGUUCUUUUCGGGAGGGGGAACAACCGUGGCAGGGAAUGGCCGCGGGAUGACGUGAAUCCCGGAAUAAGCCCCGGCUAACUACGUGCCAGCCGCCGC